Long non-coding RNA from Anguilla rostrata (American eel), 425 nucleotides. RefSeq lists it as uncharacterized. The transcript has 2 exons. NCBI's taxonomy places the organism in Eukaryota, Metazoa, Chordata, Actinopteri, Anguilliformes, Anguillidae. The record is from RefSeq and is a predicted model, not a curated record.
CUCUGUCCAUUACCGUGCCCUGUAGCGAUGAUGAUAUCACCGCCCAGGCUAAUUGAGUUAUACCUUCUGCUCUGUUUGGCCCCUCGCACGUCAAGGCAAACAAUUAAUGCAUCAUUGCCCUGUCUCGACUCGAGGACCUGCGCUCGUGGGAAAAGAGAUCUAUGCCGCGAGGAGCACCUGCUGGCGGUCUGUUGACCUUAAUCGGAGAUGGUGCCGACGAAAGUUCCGGUGGGACGCUAACAGAAAAUCGCAGAUGGCCACAGUUCAGGCGUUACCAGUCUGACAGUGAGAUACAGCACUCUCUUCAUUUCUGUGGACAGAAAUGCAACAGUAAGACAAGAGGGAACAGAGCUCCACAGCAAUAUUGGAUUUACAGAGUCCAUCAAACAUUGCAAUGAAAAGAUUCAAUAAAAUUAGAAAUCUCA